RNAcentral lists this small nuclear RNA (226 nucleotides) under Eutrema salsugineum. RNAcentral's name for it is "U2 spliceosomal RNA". It matches the Rfam family "U2 spliceosomal RNA". Rfam says of the family: U2 is a small nuclear RNA (snRNA) component of the spliceosome (involved in pre-mRNA splicing). Complementary binding between U2 snRNA (in an area lying towards the 5' end but 3' to hairpin I) and the branchpoint sequence (BPS) of the intron results the bulging out of an unpaired adenosine, on the BPS, which initiates a nucleophilic attack at the intronic 5' splice site, thus starting the first of two transesterification reactions that mediate splicing. The record is from Rfam by way of RNAcentral. Lineage: Eukaryota; Viridiplantae; Streptophyta; Magnoliopsida; Brassicales; Brassicaceae.
AUACCUUUCUCGGCCUUUUGGCUAAGAUCAAGUGUAGUAUCUGUUCUUAUCAGUUUAAUAUCGGGAAAAUUCCUUAAAAAUACACGAAGUUGAUAUGUCUAUAUUUUACAUCAUUUAGAGUGCAUUUUAGAGUUCUCAUCAUAUGUUUUCCCAUGUAAAUUGAGUCUUUAGACAUGAAAAUAGGAUUUAGGACUUGCAUUAGGUCCCAAAGAGUUUUGCAUGUUUU